GACGAACGCUGGCGGCGUGCCUAACACAUGCAAGUCGAGCGAAUGAAGUUCCUUCGGGAAGGGAUUUAGCGGCGGACGGGUGAGUAUCACGUGGGCAACCUGCCUCAUAGAGGGGAAUAGCCUUCCGAAAGGGAGAUUAAUACCGCAUAAGAUUGUAGUACCGCAUGGUACAGCAAUUAAAGGAGCAAUCCGCUAUGAGAUGGGCCCGCGGCGCAUUAGCUAGUUGGUGAGGUAACGGCUCACCAAGGCGACGAUGCGUAGCCGACCUGAGAGGGUGAUCGGCCACAUUGGGACUGAGACACGGCCCAGACUCCUACGGGAGGCAGCAGUGGGGAAUAUUGCACAAUGGGGGAAACCCUGAUGCAGCAACGCCGCGUGAGUGAUGACGGCCUUCGGGUUGUAAAGCUCUGUCUUCAGGGACGAUAAUGACGGUACCUGAGGAGGAAGCCACGGCUAACUACGUGCCAGCAGCCGCGGUAA
Molecule: ribosomal RNA, 480 nt
Filed under: uncultured bacterium
Lineage: Bacteria
Description: partial 16S ribosomal RNA
Rfam family: Bacterial small subunit ribosomal RNA
Source: RNAcentral